Molecule: ribosomal RNA, 497 nt
Filed under: uncultured bacterium
Lineage: Bacteria
Description: partial 16S ribosomal RNA
Rfam family: Bacterial small subunit ribosomal RNA
Source: RNAcentral
GACGAACGCUGGCGGCGUGCCUAAUACAUGCAAGUAGAACGCUGAAGAGAGGAGCUUGCUCUUCUUGGAUGAGUUGCGAACGGGUGAGUAACGCGUAGGUAACCUGCCUGGUAGCGGGGGAUAACUAUUGGAAACGAUAGCUAAUACCGCAUGAAAUUGCUUAUCGCAUGAUAAUUGAUUGAAAGAUGCAAUUGCAUCACUACCAGAUGGACCUGCGUUGUAUUAGCUAGUUGGUGAGGUAACGGCUCACCAAGGCGACGAUACAUAGCCGACCUGAGAGGGUGAUCGGCCACACUGGGACUGAGACACGGCCCAGACUCCUACGGGAGGCAGCAGUAGGGAAUCUUCGGCAAUGGGGGGAACCCUGACCGAGCAACGCCGCGUGAGUGAAGAAGGUUUUCGGAUCGUAAAGCUCGGUUGUAAGAGAAGAACGGGUGUGAGAGUGGAAAGUUCACACUGUGACGGUAUCUGACCAGAAAGGGACGGCUAACUACGUG